CUAAGAAUAUUCCGCAAUGGACGAAAGUCUGACGGAGCGACGCCGCGUGGAUGACGAAGGCCGAAAGGUUGUAAAAUCCUUUUGUUGGGGAAGAAUAAGGCUGGGAGGGAAUGCCCGGUCGAUGACAUGAACCGACGAAUAAGCCCCGGCUAACUACGUGCCAGCAGCCGCGGUAACACGUAGGGGGCGAGCGUUGUUCGGAAUUACUGGGCGUAAAGGGCAUGUAGGCGGCUUGGUAAGCCUGGCGUGAAAGUCCACAGCUUAACUGUGGGACAGCGCUGGGAACUGCUGAGCUUGAGUUAUGGAGAGGGAGCUGGAAUUCCUGGUGUAGGGGUGAAAUCUGUAGAGAUCAGGAAGAACACCGAUGGCGAAGGCAAGCUCCUGGCCAAUGACUGACGCU
Molecule: ribosomal RNA, 400 nt
Filed under: uncultured bacterium
Lineage: Bacteria
Description: bacterial SSU rRNA
Rfam family: Bacterial small subunit ribosomal RNA
Source: RNAcentral